This 253-nucleotide ribosomal RNA is filed under the name uncultured bacterium. RNAcentral describes it as "partial 16S ribosomal RNA". It matches the Rfam family "Bacterial small subunit ribosomal RNA", at positions 524 to 776 of the family's 1533-position model. The record is from RNAcentral.
UACGAAGGUCCCAAGCGUUAUCCGGAUUUAUUGGGUUUAAAGGGCGCGUAGGCGGGUUAUUAAGUCAGUGGUGAAAGCCUGCAGCUUAACUGCAGAAUUGCCAUUGAUACUGAUGAUCUUGAGUAUGAUUGAGGUGGGCGGAAUGUGUCAUGUAGCGGUGAAAUGCUUAGAUAUGACACAGAACACCGAUUGCGAAGGCAGCUCACUAAGUCAUAACUGACGCUGAUGCACGAAAGCGUGGGGAGCAAACAGG